RNAcentral lists this ribosomal RNA (466 nucleotides) under Micrococcus sp. SC3. Its description in RNAcentral is "bacterial SSU rRNA". It matches the Rfam family "Bacterial small subunit ribosomal RNA", at positions 27 to 506 of the family's 1533-position model. The record is from RNAcentral. Lineage: Bacteria; Bacillati; Actinomycetota; Actinomycetes; Micrococcales; Micrococcaceae.
GGAUGAACGCUGGCGGCGUGCUUAACACAUGCAAGUCGAACGAUGAAGCCCAGCUUGCUGGGUGGAUUAGUGGCGAACGGGUGAGUAACACGUGAGUAACCUGCCCUUAACUCUGGGAUAAGCCUGGGAAACURGGUCUAAUACCGGAUAGGAGCGYCYACCGCAUGGUGGGUGUUGGAAAGAUUUAUCGGUUUUGGAUGGACUCGCGGCCUAUCAGCUUGUUGGUGAGGUAAUGGCUCACCAAGGCGACGACGGGUAGCCGGCCUGAGAGGGUGACCGGCCACACUGGGACUGAGACACGGCCCAGACUCCUACGGGAGGCAGCAGUGGGGAAUAUUGCACAAUGGGCGAAAGCCUGAUGCAGCGACGCCGCGUGAGGGAUGACGGCCUUCGGGUUGUAAACCUCUUUCAGUAGGGAAGAAGCGAAAGUGACGGUACCUGCAGAAGAAGCACCGGCUAACUACGU